ACCUCAACAACCAGCGGUCCUGACGUGCAAAUCGGUCGUCCGACCUGGGUAUAGGGGCGAAAGACUAAUCGAACCAUCUAGUAGCUGGUUCCCUCCGAAGUUUCCCUCAGGAUAGCUGGCGCUCAGCGUCCCUUGCAGUUUUAUCUGGUAAAGCAAAUGACUAGAGGCCCUGGGGCCGAAACGGACCUCACCCUAUUCUCAAGGUUUAAAAGGGUCAAACAUAA
Stegastes partitus (bicolor damselfish) is the source of this 224-nucleotide long non-coding RNA. RefSeq lists it as uncharacterized. The transcript is spliced from 3 exons. The record is from RefSeq and is a predicted model, not a curated record. NCBI's taxonomy places the organism in Eukaryota, Metazoa, Chordata, Actinopteri, Pomacentridae.